GAUGAACGCUAGCGGGAGGCCUAACACAUGCAAGCCGAGCGGUAUUGUUUCUUCGGAAAUGAGAGAGCGGCGUACGGGUGCGUAACACGUGUGCAACCUGCCUUUAUCUGGGGGAUAGCCUUUCGAAAGGAAGAUUAAUACUCCAUAAUAUAUUGAACGGCAUCGUUUAAUAUUGAAAGCUCCGGCGGAUAGAGAUGGGCACGCGCAAGAUUAGUUAGUUGGUGAGGUAACGGCUCACCAAGGCGAUGAUCUUUAGGGGGCCUGAGAGGGUGAUCCCCCACACUGGUACUGAGACACGGACCAGACUCCUACGGGAGGCAGCAGUGAGGAAUAUUGGACAAUGGGUGCAAGCCUGAUCCAGCCAUCCCGCGUGAAGGACGACUGCCCUAUGGGUUGUAAACUUCUUUUGUAUAGGGAUAAACCUACCCCCGUGAGGGUAGCUGAAGGUACUAUACGAAUAAGCACCGGCUAACUCCGUGCCAGCAGCCGCCGUAA
This 495-nucleotide ribosomal RNA is filed under the name uncultured bacterium. RNAcentral's name for it is "partial 16S ribosomal RNA". It matches the Rfam family "Bacterial small subunit ribosomal RNA", at positions 28 to 523 of the family's 1533-position model. The record is from RNAcentral.